CAAUAUUUCUCCAAAAAAAGCUUUAACAAAUGAAAGUACAUAAACAAUACAGUGGACCGGCAUUGGGAUAUUGCCAACAUUGUCCUUUUCCACCGGGGUGUUGUUGAUAACAUUUUUGUUGGCAAUCAGGUGGAGUACAAUCGAGGGGGUCCACCACAUCUCUGCAUAUUAAUUGUCCACUGACCAUUGAAACUCCAACUACAAAUGAAAAACAAUCAGUAUAAAAUAAAUAUAAUACUAUGGAAGAUAAAAAUAGAUAUAAACUACAAUAACGUUUUAAAUCUACAGUGGACCUAUUAAAAUAGUUGGACGGUAACAAUAACUAUACACCUACAUGAUAUGCUUUAAGCCAAAAUUAAAUUUUUUUUGUUUGAUAUAUAAAUAUAUUUAUAAUGAACUUCCUUCCAAAUAUAUUAUCAAAUUAAAGUGCAAUUUUACAACAUAGUUAUAGAUAUAGAAAUAAUUGAAUUGACAAACCUGCUACAACAACAACAAAGAAUAAUAAGUAUGCAAGCUUGACCAUUUUUAUGUGUGCAGAAUCACUCACAAUCACCUCACCAGGUGAUUUCUAAAUGUUUUU
Molecule: long non-coding RNA, 580 nt
Filed under: Lactuca sativa (garden lettuce)
Lineage: Eukaryota; Viridiplantae; Streptophyta; Magnoliopsida; Asterales; Asteraceae
Description: long non-coding RNA (LSAT_LNC000951)
Source: RNAcentral